Molecule: small nuclear RNA, 163 nt
Filed under: Myotis davidii
Lineage: Eukaryota; Metazoa; Chordata; Mammalia; Chiroptera; Vespertilionidae
Description: U1 spliceosomal RNA
Rfam family: U1 spliceosomal RNA
About the family: U1 is a small nuclear RNA (snRNA) component of the spliceosome (involved in pre-mRNA splicing). Its 5' end forms complementary base pairs with the 5' splice junction, thus defining the 5' donor site of an intron.
Source: Rfam by way of RNAcentral
ACACUCACCUGGCAGGGGAGAUGUCAUGAUCACGAAGGUGUUUUCCCAGGGUGCGGCUUACCCACCGCACUCCGGAGGUGCUGAUCCCUGGGAUUUCCCCAAAUGUGGGAAACUCGACUGCCUGUUUUGUGGUCGUGGGGGACUGCGUUUGCGCUCUCCCCUG